Molecule: long non-coding RNA, 1908 nt
Organism: Ochlerotatus camptorhynchus
Lineage: Eukaryota; Metazoa; Arthropoda; Insecta; Diptera; Culicidae
Exons: 4
Source: RefSeq, a predicted model, not a curated record
CUUACCGUGUACGAAUACAGCACCCCACACGAAUAAAGCCCUACAGUAAAAGUAUGGACGACUGACACCACAAAACUGAAAAAAGCUGUUCCAAUCGAGCAAAGCGGUGCAUUUUGACGGUUCGAUUGGAACAACUUUUGACAGACGUCCAUACUUUUACUGUAGGGCUUUACACACGAAUUGCCGGCGACAAAGUGACGUCAUUUGACAUUGGGCGACUUAAAGACUGACGUUUUUAAAUUGGUGUGUUUUUUUUUGUCGUGCGCUCAGCCAUCUUGUCUGGUUUGUUUAUAAACAAACUAGACAAGAUGGCUGAGUGCACGGAGCGCACCGCAAAUUCCUUCACCCGAGCCGCGAAGGAAAGUAGCAACUUUAACACCGGCUGCUUCCAAUAAUUCCGGAUUGGGACGUGUACGGAAAUUGAAUAGAGCCGCCUGCUUCCAAUAAUUCCGGAGGUGUUCGGGAAUAGAGUGGCAACCACUUACGCUAGGGAGGCAAUUGAACACCUAGACCUGGACUCAUCAACUCAAGGGCCAGGAUCCACGGCUGUGCUUCUUUUCGAAGGAAGGCAUGACACCACCAAAGCAACCAAGGAAGUCAUCAAUCCCCACCAACUGACGAGUUUCGUUUGUGGUUCGACACAUGGACGGAGCAUUUGUGUUUUGCUAAAUUUUGCAAAUUAUUGGGGAAUUUCCCUAAAGUUUCACGCGGCCACCAGUUUUCACUCUUCCACAGGCCUUAAGGGUAACCCACAUUAGAUCUGCUUGCGUUGCGUUGUCGUAAAUUUUAUAGUUAGACAAUAUAUUUAGCUGUCACUUUGCUGCAUCGCGCCAGAUCCGGAUCUAAUGUGGGUGGCCCUGUAGAUUUGGAAACUUGAUUAUGUAAACACUAGGCAUCUUUGUCUGGUAGUUCGUUCAAAAAUGAUACAACAAUCGUCAAGCUCGCUGUAACGUCACCUAGUGCCUCGUCACCUACAAAUUGGCGCCUAUGUCAGUGGUCUAAUAACUCUUAGCGCGCUAAUGGCAUAGUUCCCCUGCCGCAUAGAGAGUUGCCGCAAUGACAUUAGGUUAGCUAAGGUCAGUUAACUGACUGGUGGGAAACGGGAGCUUCAGCAUUGACAGUUAUGUACGCAUUUUUAUGAUGUUAUCUAACAACAAUGGUGUGUAGUGUUUACACGAUUAUGUUACUAAUUCUAAUGUGUUGUAAAUAUAAUUGAAAGCAUUUGAAAAGUAAGAUUCUAGUGGUUAUACUACUUAAAACAUAAGUAAACAUCUACAUUUUAAAACAUUCAAACAACGUUUACUUUAAACGUUUUGUACAUCUGAAAACAUCAGAGAACAACAAACAGGAAGUACAAUUGAAAACAUCCGAACAACGUUUAGUUCUAACGUUGUGUACAUCCGAAAACAUCCAAAAAACGUUUGGUUCUAGCAUCGGGAAACAUCUACAUAAGAAAACAUUAGAAUACAUUUACAUAUAAAAACAUCCGAACAACGUUUAGUUCUAACGUUUUUUACAUCCGAAAACAUCCAAAAACGUUUGGUUCUAACAUCAGGAAACUUCUACAUUAAAAAACAUCAGAAAACAUUUACAUAUAAAAACAUUUAAACAACGUUUAGUUCUAACGUUUUUUACAUCCGAGAACAUCCGAAAACGUUUGGUUCUAACAUCGGGAAACAUCUACAUUAGAAAACAUCAGAAAACGUUUACAUAUAAAAACAUCCGAACAACGUUUAGUUCUAACGUAAUGUACAUCAGAAAACAUCCUUAAAACGUUUGGUUCUAAUGUCAAGAGAUUGAAAUUUUUGACGUCAGACCGACAUUAGAAUGGCAAAAUUUUGUUCCAAAAUUUCUGAUGUAUACACCAUGUUACGUUGCUUAAAUACAACUAAAUCAUAAUGUUUUCUA